RNAcentral lists this ribosomal RNA (1415 nucleotides) under uncultured bacterium. Its description in RNAcentral is "bacterial SSU rRNA". It matches the Rfam family "Bacterial small subunit ribosomal RNA". The record is from RNAcentral.
AGAGUUUGAUCCUGGCUCAGAACGAACGCUGGCGGCGUGCCUAACACAUGCAAGUCGUACGAGAAAAUCCGCUUCGGCGGGUGAGUAAAGUGGCGCACGGGUGAGUAACGCGUGGAUAAUCUGCCUUUAAGCGGGGAAUAACUUACCGAAAGGUGGGCUAAUACCCCAUAAAGCUAUGGAACUCCGGUUUUCAUAGCCAAAGAGAGCCUCUGCAUGCAAGCCCUCACUUAGAGAUGAGUCCGCGUACCAUUAGCUAGUUGGUGGGGUAAUGGCCUACCAAGGCGACGAUGGUUAGCUGGUCUGAGAGGAUGAUCAGCCACACUGGAACUGAGACACGGUCCAGACUCCUACGGGAGGCAGCAGUGAGGAAUAUUGCGCAAUGGGGGCAACCCUGACGCAGCAACGCCGCGUGAGUGAGGAAGGUUUUCGGAUCGUAAAGCUCUGUCGGGUGGGAAGAAAUGUAUGGAGGUUAACAGCCUUUGUACUUGACGGUACCGCCAAAGGAAGCACCGGCUAACUCCGUGCCAGCAGCCGCGGUAAUACGGGGGGUGCUAGCGUUGUUCGGAAUCAUUGGGCGUAAAGAGCGUGUAGGCGGCUAGGCAAGCCAGAUGUGAAAUCCCUGGGCUUAACCCAGGACGUGCAUUUGAAACUGCUUGGCUUGAGUAGGGAAGAGGGAAGUGGAAUUCCUGGUGUAGAGGUGAAAUUCGUAGAUAUCAGGAGGAACACCGGUGGCGAAGGCGACUUCCUGGUCCUAUACUGACGCUGAGACGCGAGAGCGUGGGGAGCAAACAGGAUUAGAUACCCUGGUAGUCCUGGCCGUAAACGAUGGGUACUAGGUGUUGGAGGUAUCGACCCCUUCAGUGCCGCAGCAAACGCAUUAAGUACCCCGCCUGGGGAGUACGAUCGCAAGGUUGAAACUCAAAAGAAUUGACGGGGGCCCGCACAAGCGGUGGAGUAUGUGGUUCAAUUCGAGGCAACGCGAAGAACCUUACCUGGGCUUGACAUACACCGGACCGCAUCUGAAAGGAUGCUUCCCUUCGGGGUCGGUGAACAGGUGCUGCAUGGCUGUCGUCAGCUCGUGCCGUGAGGUGUUGGGUUAAGUCCCGCAACGAGCGCAACCCUCGCCCUUAGUUGCCAUCAGGUUAUGCUGGGAACUCUAAGGGGACUGCCAGUGAUAAGCUGGAGGAAGGUGGGGAUGAUGUCAAGUCAUCAUGGCCCUUACACCCAGGGCUACACACGUACUACAAUGGCCGGUACAGAGGGCUGCAAGACUGCAAAGUGGAGCCAAUCCCUAAAACCGGUCUCAGUUCAGAUUGAAGUCUGCAACUCGACUUCAUGAAGGUGGAAUCGCUAGUAAUCGCAGAUCAGCACGCUGCGGUGAAUACGUUCCCGGGCCUUGCACUCACCGCCCGUCA